UGGGGAAUAUUGCACAAUGGGCACAAGCCUGAUGCAGCCAUGCCGCGUGUAUGAAGAAGGCCUUCGGGUUGUAAAGUACUUUCAGCGGGGAGGAAGGCGAUAAGGUUAAUAACCUUGUCGAUUGACGUUACCCGCAGAAGAAGCACCGGCUAACUCCGUGCCAGCAGCCGCGGUAAUACGGAGGGUGCAAGCGUUAAUCGGAAUUACUGGGCGUAAAGCGCACGCAGGCGGUCUGUCAAGUCGGAUGUGAAAUCCCCGGGCUCAACCUGGGAACUACAUUCGAAACUGGCAGGCUAGAGUCUUGUAGAGGGGGGUAGAAUUCCAGGUGUAGCGGUGAAAUGCGUAGAGAUCUGGAGGAAUACCGGUGGCGAAGGCGGCCCCCUGGACAAAGACUGACGCUCAGGUGCGAAAGCGUGGGGAGCAAACA
RNAcentral lists this ribosomal RNA (427 nucleotides) under uncultured bacterium. Its description in RNAcentral is "partial 16S ribosomal RNA". It matches the Rfam family "Bacterial small subunit ribosomal RNA", at positions 355 to 774 of the family's 1533-position model. The record is from RNAcentral.